Molecule: long non-coding RNA, 999 nt
Organism: Actinia tenebrosa (Australian red waratah sea anemone)
Lineage: Eukaryota; Metazoa; Cnidaria; Anthozoa; Actiniaria; Actiniidae
Source: RefSeq, a predicted model, not a curated record
AGAUCCAUCCAUGCAGUCAUUUCUUCCAUCACAUCUGUAGCGAGCAGGUAUGCAUCGGCCACUAAGGCUACAGGUAUAUGCAUGAGUUGCAGUUCUUCAUCUCACAAACCUUGAAAAGAUAACACAAAAUAGUCAUCUGGAAACAGUUUAUAGUUAUGUAGUCAAGAACAAAUACACUAGUUUGAUUUGUGGCAAAAUAUACAUAAAUGAAAUGGAAAAAUACAAUACUAUUGGACUAACUGUGGUACAACUACACACAAGAAGCCCUAACAAUUAUUCUACAGCCCCACACUUUGUGACCAAAAUUAGAUGUUCAUGCCCAUUGUUCGCACGCAUCCUUUCUCUGCGCACGCUUAUUGUGAUGACGUCAUUCCAAUGUUUUGAUAAGCAAGAGGACCCCCUUUUUAUUUUGUUUUUUUGAAAGUACUUGGUAAUAAUCAACCUUAGAGGAAAACGUUUUUAAAUCUGACAAUGGGGUCAAAACAAAAUUACAUAUUUUGUGCAUAAUUAGAAUAGAAUUUCAUUUAACACAAAGACUUGUACCCCAAUAACAUUUUAUACUUCUAGUAUGAUGUACUUUCAUCAUUCGAAAUUUUUAAAAAAAAUUGACAAUGAGAUCUUUUGCCCAUGAACGUAUUGGUUAUUUUUGAAAUCAUCAUUUGUUUUAUGAGAAUGUAACAGCUUCACUUCCCUUCAAUCAAAGUAAAUGGAUUAUAUUUUUGCUGUUACUUAAUCUUCACAUGUUGAUCUACCAAAGUGUUUCUCAGAUUUCUUAAUUGUCACUUCAUUUUGACCAUUAUCAUGCAUUAUCAUGCAUACAAAAAAUAUAUAUUUUAGCCCCACAUUUAAUUUUUUUCCUGUGCUGGCACUAAAGCCACAGGAAGUCCAAUGGUGAUAACACUGUACACCUUGUAGGGGACUACUGUCUUGUUCUAGAUAUUGUAUUUUUACCUGCCUUUGGCGAAUAUUGUUUCAAUAAAUAAAAUAAAUAUUUUGCUA